GACAGCAGUAGCCGCGGUAAUACGGAGGGUGCAAGCGUUAAUCGGAAUUACUGGGCGUAAAGCGCACGCAGGCGGUCUGACAAGUCAGAUGUGAAAUCCCCGGGCUUAACCUGGGAACUGCAUUUGAAACUGUCAGGCUGGAGUCUUGUAGAGGGGGGUAGAAUUCCAGGUGUAGCGGUGAAAUGCGUAGAGAUCUGGAGGAAUACCGGUGGCGAAGGCGGCCCCCUGGACAAAGACUGACGCUCAGGUGCGAAAGCGUGGGGAGCAAACAGGAUUAGAUACCCGGGUAGUCCCUGUCUCUUAUAA
This 306-nucleotide ribosomal RNA is filed under the name uncultured bacterium. RNAcentral's name for it is "partial 16S ribosomal RNA". It matches the Rfam family "Bacterial small subunit ribosomal RNA", at positions 507 to 809 of the family's 1533-position model. The record is from RNAcentral.